RNAcentral lists this ribosomal RNA (200 nucleotides) under uncultured bacterium. RNAcentral describes it as "partial 16S ribosomal RNA". It matches the Rfam family "Bacterial small subunit ribosomal RNA", at positions 335 to 527 of the family's 1533-position model. The record is from RNAcentral.
ACUCCUACGGGAGGCAGCAGUGGGGAAUAUUGCACAAUGGGGGAAACCCUGAUGCAGCCAUGCCGCGUGUGUGAAGAAGGCCUUCGGGUUGUAAAGCACUUUCAGUAGGGAGGAAAGGGUGUAGCUUAAUACGCUAUAUCUGUGACGUUACCUACAGAAGAAGGACCGGCUAACUCCGUGCCAGCAGCCGCGGUAAUACA